GAAAAGUUUGAUAUCCCAACCUCCAACACAACCCUGACAGUUGCAUAAUAGUGAUUGGGAGCGUACUAUGUCGGCAUCACUUACUUCAAAUGAAGCUGAUUUGGAAGGAUGAUCACCUACCCCAAAUAUGACAACAACACCUCCAACGCGCAAUCCGAAUCCAAACGACAAUAGGAUCUUCAUUCGUCCCAUUGGCACAAAAGCGUUUGAACCUUGCAGUGGGCAUAAAACUUAUCAUAGAAAGCAUCACCCGGUACUUCCCCGAGGCUGUCAAGACGUACAACGGUGCGCCUCAAAGAAUGAAAGAUAUGUGGUUUAAUGAAUUUAAGAAAGCUUGUAAGUGGAAUCCAGAAGAUGAAGCGGCCAUCCAGAAUAUAUAUCAUAAAAAAGCUGCCAGAAGACUUUCUGACAAAUUGGGACAGGUGCGCGUCAAAUUAGCAAAUGGUGAAUCACCACCGCUAUGGAUGUCUGCUCCGGUUCUGGCUCAGUAUCACAGCAUUUAGGACAAGGAAGAAUU
Ipomoea nil (Japanese morning glory) is the source of this 517-nucleotide long non-coding RNA. RefSeq lists it as uncharacterized. Lineage: Eukaryota; Viridiplantae; Streptophyta; Magnoliopsida; Solanales; Convolvulaceae. The transcript is spliced from 3 exons. The record is from RefSeq and is a predicted model, not a curated record.